Molecule: microRNA precursor, 92 nt
Filed under: Pongo abelii (Sumatran orangutan)
Lineage: Eukaryota; Metazoa; Chordata; Mammalia; Primates; Hominidae
Description: miRNA
Source: RNAcentral
GACACCACAUGCUUCUCCAGUGCCUGCCCUCCAGGUCAUGUUCCAGUGUCCCACAGAUGCAGCACCGUGGCCCAGGCGGCAUUGGUGUCACC